AUUGAACGCUGGCGGAAUGCUUUACACAUGCAAGUCGAGCGGCAGCGCGGGGGCAACCCUGGCGGCGAGCGGCGAACGGGUGAGUAACAUAUCGGAACGUACCCAGUCGUGGGGGAUAACUAUCCGAAAGGAUAGCUAAUACCGCAUACGUCCUGAGGGAGAAAGCGGGGGAUCGCAAGACCUCGCGCGAUUGGAGCGGCCGAUAUCGGAUUAGCUAGUUGGUGGGGUAAAGGCUCACCAAGGCGACGAUCCGUAGCGGGUCUGAGAGGACGACCCGCCACACUGGAACUGAGACACGGUCCAGACUCCUACGGGAGGCAGCAGUGGGGAAUUUAGGACAAUGGGGGCAACCCUGAUCCAGCCAUUCCGCGUGAGUGAAGAAGGCCUCGGUGUAAG
RNAcentral lists this ribosomal RNA (396 nucleotides) under uncultured bacterium. Its description in RNAcentral is "bacterial SSU rRNA". It matches the Rfam family "Bacterial small subunit ribosomal RNA", at positions 29 to 429 of the family's 1533-position model. The record is from RNAcentral.